RNAcentral lists this ribosomal RNA (1346 nucleotides) under uncultured bacterium. RNAcentral describes it as "partial 16S ribosomal RNA". It matches the Rfam family "Bacterial small subunit ribosomal RNA", at positions 28 to 1381 of the family's 1533-position model. The record is from RNAcentral.
GACGAACGCUUGCGGCGUGCUUAACACAUGCAAGUCGAACGGAAAGGCCCUGCUUUUGUGGGGUGCUCGAGUGGCGAACGGGAGAGUAACACGUGAGUAACCUGCCCUUGACUUUGGGAUAACUUCAGGUAACUGGGGCUAAUACCGGAUAGGAGCUCCUGCUGCAUGGUGGGGGUUGGAAAGUUUCGGCGGUUGGGGAUGGACUCGCGGCUUAUCAGCUUGUUGGUGGGGUAGUGGCUUACCAAGGCUUUGACGGGUAGCCGGCCUGAGAGGGUGACCGGCCACAUUGGGACUGAGAUACGGCCCAGACUCCUACGGGAGGCAGCAGUGGGGAAUAUUGCACAAUGGGCGGAAGCCUGAUGCAGCAACGCCGCGUGCGGGAUGACGGCCUUCGGGUUGUAAACCGCUUUCGCCUGUGACGAAGCGUGAGUGACGGUAAUGGGUGAAGAAGCACCGGCUAACUACGUGCCAGCAGCCGCGGUGAUACGUAGGGUGCGAGCGUUGUCCGGAUUUAUUGGGCGUAAAGGGCUCGUAGGUGGUUGAUCGCGUCGGAAGUGUAAUCUUGGGGCUUAACCCUGAGCGUGCUUUCGAUACGGGUUGACUUGAGGAAGGUAGGGGAGAAUGGAGUUCCUGGUGGAGCGGUGGAAUGCGCAGAUAUCAGGAGGAACACCAGUGGCGAAGGCGGUUCUCUGGGCCUUUCCUGACGCUGAGGAGCGAAAGCGUGGGGAGCGAACAGGCUUAGAUACCCUGGUAGUCCACGCUGUAAACGGUGGGUACUAGGUGUGGGGUCCAUUCCACGGGUUCCGUGCCGUAGCUAACGCUUUAAGUACCCCGCCUGGGGAGUACGGCCGCAAGGCUAAAACUCAAAGGAAUUGACGGGGCCCCGCACAAGCGGCGGAGCAUGCGGAUUAAUUCGAUGCAACGCGUAGAACCUUACCUGGGUUUGACAUGGAUCGGGAGUGCUCAGAGAUGGGUGUGCCUCUUUUGGGGUCGGUUCACAGGUGGUGCAUGGCUGUCGUCAGCUCGUGUCGUGAGAUGUUGGGUUAAGUCCCGCAACGAGCGCAACCCUUGUUCACUGUUGCCAGCACGUUAUGGUGGGGACUCAGUGGAGACCGCCGGGGUCAACUCGGAGGAAGGUGGGGAUGACGUCAAGUCAUCAUGCCCCUUAUGUCCAGGGCUUCACGCAUGCUACAAUGGCUGGUACAGAGAGUGGCGAGCCUGUGAGGGUGAGCGAAUCUCGGAAAGCCGGUCUCAGUUCGGAUUGGGGUCUGCAACUCGACCUCAUGAAGUCGGAGUCGCUAGUAAUCGCAGAUCAGCAACGCUGCGGUGAAUACGUUCCCGGGGCU